GAUGAACGCUGGCGGCGUGCCUAAUACAUGCAAGUCGAGCGAACGGACGAGAAGCUUGCUUCUCUGAUGUUAGCGGCGGACGGGUGAGUAACACGUGGAUAACCUACCUAUAAGACUGGGAUAACUUCGGGAAACCGUAGCUAAUACCGGAUAAUAUUUUGAACCGCAUGGUUCAAAAGUGAAAGACGGUCUUGCUGUCACUUAUAGAUGGAUCCGCGCUGCAUUAGCUAGUUGGUAAGGUAACGGCUUACCAAGGCAACGAUGCAUAGCCGACCUGAGAGGUGGUUGCGCCCCGCUGAAACUGAGACGCGGCCCAGGCUCUUAGGGGGGGCAGCGGUGGGGAAUUUUCCGAAAUGGGCGAAAGCCUGACGGAGCAACGCCGGGUGGGUGAUGAAGGUCUGCGGUUCGUAAACCCCUGUUAUUGGGGAAAAAAAUAUGUGAAAGUAACUGUGCCCAUCUGGCCGUUACCUAAAAAGAAAGCCCCGGCUACCUACGU
Molecule: ribosomal RNA, 496 nt
Filed under: uncultured bacterium
Lineage: Bacteria
Description: partial 16S ribosomal RNA
Rfam family: Bacterial small subunit ribosomal RNA
Source: RNAcentral